CCUACGGGUGGCUGCAGUGGGGAAUAUUGCACAAUGGGGGAAACCCUGAUGCAGCGACGCCGCGUGAGUGAAGAAGUAUUUCGGUAUGUAAAGCUCUAUCAGCAGGGAAGCAGCAAGACGGUACCUGACUAAGAAGCACCGGCGAACUACGUGCCCGCAGCCGCGGUAAUACGCAGGGGGCAAGCGUUAUCCGGAUUUACUGGGUGUAAAGGGAGCGUAGGCGGUAUGGCAAGUCUGAAGUGAAAGCCCAGGGCUUAACCCUGGGACUGCUUUGGAAACUGUUUGACUAGAGUGCGGGAGGGGUAAGUGGAAUGCGUAGUGUAGCGGUGAAAUGCGUAGAUAUUAGGAGGAACACCGGUGGCGAAGGCGGCGUACGGGACAGUAACUGACGUUGAGGCUCGAAAGCGUGGGGAGCAAACAGGAUUAGAUACCCGGGUAGUC
This 441-nucleotide ribosomal RNA is filed under the name uncultured bacterium. RNAcentral's name for it is "partial 16S ribosomal RNA". It matches the Rfam family "Bacterial small subunit ribosomal RNA", at positions 338 to 795 of the family's 1533-position model. The record is from RNAcentral.